AUUCCAGCUCCAUUAGCGUAUGAUAAAGUUGUUGCGGCUAAAAAGCUCGUAGUUGGAUUUCUAGAUGAGAGGAGUGGUCCACUCUAUGAGUGUGUAUCUACUUCCGCUCGUCUAUCCGCUCUGCAAACGUGUCUGCGCUUGACUGCGUGGCGCGGAGGUAGGGCCUUUUACUUUGAGGAAAUUAGAGUGUUCACGGCAGGCAAUCGCCUUGAAUAUAUUAGCAUGGAAUAAUAACAUAGGAUCUUGGUUCUAUUUUGUUGGCUUCUAGGGCUAAGAUAAUGAUUAAUAGGGACAAUUGGGGGCAUUCGUAUCGCGGUGUCAGAGGUGGAAUUCUUGGAUUACUGCGCGACGAACUACUGCGAAAGCAUUUGCCAAGGAUGUUUUCAUCA
RNAcentral lists this ribosomal RNA (389 nucleotides) under Syndiniales sp. RNAcentral describes it as "partial small subunit ribosomal RNA". It matches the Rfam family "Eukaryotic small subunit ribosomal RNA", at positions 582 to 975 of the family's 1831-position model. Lineage: Eukaryota; Dinophyceae; Syndiniales. The record is from RNAcentral.